GAUGAACGCUGGCGGCGUGCCUAAUACAUGCAAGUCGAGCGAACAGACGAGGAGCUUGCUCCUCUGACGUUAGCGGCGGACGGGUGAGUAACACGUGGAUAACCUACCUAUAAGACUGGGAUAACUUCGGGAAACCGGAGCUAAUACCGGAUAAUAUAUUGAACCGCAUGGUUCAAUAGUGAAAGACGGUUUUGCUGUCACUUAUAGAUGGAUCCGCGCCGCAUUAGCUAGUUGGUAAGGUAACGGCUUACCAAGGCAACGAUGCGUAGCCGACCUGAGAGGGUGAUACGCCACACUGGAACUGAGACACGGUCCAGACUCCUACGGGAGGCAGCAGUAGGGAAUCUUCCGCAAUGGGCGAAAGCCUGCCGGAGCAACGCCGCGUGAGUGAUGAAGGUCUUCGGAUCGUAAAACUCUGUUAUUAGGGAAGAACAAAUGUGUAAGUAACUAUGCACGUCUUGACGGUACCUAAGAAGAAAGCCACGGCUAACUACGU
RNAcentral lists this ribosomal RNA (496 nucleotides) under uncultured bacterium. Its description in RNAcentral is "partial 16S ribosomal RNA". It matches the Rfam family "Bacterial small subunit ribosomal RNA", at positions 28 to 506 of the family's 1533-position model. The record is from RNAcentral.